AUGAGGGGGUGGGUUUGGGAGAACAAUUUAUAUAUUCUGUACAGAUGUUUUCUUAAUAUGUAUAAUUUUGUACAUAAUUUUCUGUUAUGUGUACUAAGUAGAUUGUUAAAUAGAUGUCCCAAAAAGUUUUAUUUUUGUACCGCAAAGGGUUGGUGAAUCAGACAGACUGCACAUAUAAUUGACCUAUUCAUUUUAUGACAAAACUGUUAGGAGAGCCCAAAUAGGUUACUAAGUAAAGCUGACUGUUGGCACAUAAAGCACGUUUUCAUGUCAUACUGUGAGCAUUGAUAGAAUCAUGUUUUGGUUUUCCCAUCACUUAUUGCCUAAGAACAUUUAUAAGAGGUCUACUUUAACAAUUUAUAGAGAGUAAUUUCAGUAUUUUAUUUUUUUUUCUCCAAGUUUAGUAAAAUACAUUCAGCUGUUAAUGACUUGUGUGCGUUCAACAAACCCCUAUUGGUACUCUAUAGUUUUGAUGAUCUUUAAAUAUCUUGCAUUCUCAAAACCCAUCAGGGAAGUUGUUCAUUGUUAUUCUUUAUACUCUAUGUAAUUUUAAUUAUAUCCUCAAGUUUUCUGACCCAGGGAUAAUUCAGAUUAUACUGAAUUUGAGCUCCUUUUUAGUUUCCUUCGCUUUUCAGUCAUUUUCGUUCAAAUAUACAUUAUUUCACAAGUUUUUUUGCUUGUUUACUCAUUUAACCACCGCAAUGUAGGUCAAGACUUGUUUGGAGUUAUGUAUAUUCUAACCUUUAGGGCACAUGGGCUUUUGUAUUGAAUGUCAAUCUUACUUAACAAAAUAUUUGGUCUAUUAAAACAAAAAAAAGACCUAUUGAGGGUUUGAGAAUACCAAUUCUUAUUACAAUUAAUAAAUCUGUUUCAUGUAAAUAGUGCCUUAACUAAAUUUAAAAUGUGCUUUUAUGUAAAGAUGCAAUUUCCAUGUGUAACUGUUUAACUGCUAGUUGACCAUGCAGUGCAGGUGAAGCAAUGUAAUGGAAGAUGACCAGUAUGUGCUAUUAGGUGUGGAGCCUUUUGUUAAAUGGGUCACUAGACAAUAAAGGACUCAAUCCCACAGUGAUUAAUACCAUUACCCAUGAGGGUUCAUUUAUAGGGACAAUCCAAGAUCCUUAAGCACUACAACUUUUUAUAGUGAUUACGGUUCUUGAAAACUGUGGGUGCAGUACUUUGUUGUGAUGUUUUUGUUAAACUGUUAAACAUUGAGGAAUUCAGUGCACCCAGUGCUCCUACAUUAACUUUCAACAUCAUAAUGAGGACGCAUUAAGAGAGCUGGGAUGUAGGAUAAUCUGCUUCAUCCAGUAGCCACAAACUUUUGGAUGUCUUGCAUUAUUACUGCAGUCUUUGUGUCAAUUACAUGGUGCUUGGAAGCCUUAGAAAGGAUUCAAAGUAGGAGAAUCCUCCUAUGUUCCAUCAUAGUGAGCCUCAUACUGCACUGACUGACCAUGCAGUGUAGGAACUUGGAACAGUUAAUGAGUGUAAGAGAUCCUCAUUAUAAUUGUGUAAGUUAAAGUGGGUGGGCAUUGGAUGUUGAAGAUUCCUUUGUUUUUGUUUUUUUGUCAUACCAUUUCAAAUAUGACAAAGACUGUGUUGCUGCUUCUUAGCACCAUAGCUACUACAGGUAACUGUAGUUGUUAUUGUGCAUCAAAGCACUUUUAAAUUUUUAGUGACCAUUCUAUGCCACUUGCGGUCACAUUACUCUUUACCUUUUCUUAAUCAUCGUUAAGUUUCGAGAUCAGCUGUCAGACUUCAGACUAUUCAGAAUACAGCUCCAUUGUACCUUUGCAACAAUUGCUGUUUUGGCUGUCAAAGGUUUGUGGAAAUAGUAGCUGAACAGCCGGAGGACCUUUAUUUGUUUUUGUGUGUUUUUUUCCCCCCUUCUAUAAAGGUACAAUGUUUUGCAAAAUGCUUGUGAGAAUUUUUUUUAAUUUUUUUAUUUUUAGCUUUAAUUUCUGACCUGCAUCCAAUGUUUGUUUUCUUAUAAUUUUCUUUUUUUAAUUUUUUUUAAUUUAAGCUUAGACAGGAAAAACCCUUGUAUAUUUACACAUUUGUGUGGAUUUGAUUUUUUUUUUUUUUGUUUGUUUCUAUUUUUUUUUUAUAAAUUAAUGUAUACCAAGCAAGUGCUCCUCAUGCAUUGCCAAGCUUGAGUAAAAAUGGGCCACAGAAAUGUCAGUGUCAUGCGAAUAGGGAAUGAUUAUCUCUGAUGUACAGUAUAAUUGUAUUAUAGUUUUUACAAUAUGGUGGAUAUGUGUCAUAGUAUGAUAGGCAAUAUUGUUGAAUUUCUAACUGUUUAUACAUUUAAUUCAUCCUAUGUAAUGUUUGUUUUAUUGAUUUAAAAGCUGAAUUUCUAAGAGCAUGUUCACUUUUGCAAUAAAGAAACAUGGUUCAGUGGUUCAAAACAACACCAGUAAAAAAAAAAAAAAAAAAAAAAAAAAAAAAAAAAAAAAAAAAAAAAAAAAAAAAAAAAAAUCAGAACAAAAAAAAUAAAAAGACGAAAAAAAAGUCAAUGGGAAAAAAACAUAAACCAUUCAAACAUCCUUCUCACUGUAUUAAUUCGGCAACCGUAUCAGAACCACUCCAG
Pelobates cultripes (western spadefoot toad) is the source of this 2587-nucleotide non-coding RNA. The record is from the annotation of a GenBank genome assembly. NCBI's taxonomy places the organism in Eukaryota, Metazoa, Chordata, Amphibia, Anura, Pelobatidae.